GCUGUUUGGCUCAAUGGUAGAGCGUCCGCCUCCUAAGCGGAAGGUUGUGGGUUCGAGUGAGCUUUCCCAUGAACUGCG
RNAcentral lists this transfer RNA (78 nucleotides) under Cercospora zeae-maydis SCOH1-5. Its description in RNAcentral is "tRNA-Arg". The stretch from base 7 to 70 matches the Rfam family "tRNA", at positions 8 to 63 of the family's 71-position model. Rfam says of the family: Transfer RNA (tRNA) molecules are approximately 80 nucleotides in length. Lineage: Eukaryota; Fungi; Ascomycota; Dothideomycetes; Mycosphaerellales; Mycosphaerellaceae. The record is from RNAcentral.